RNAcentral lists this ribosomal RNA (122 nucleotides) under Oryza rufipogon (brownbeard rice). The record is from RNAcentral. Lineage: Eukaryota; Viridiplantae; Streptophyta; Magnoliopsida; Poales; Poaceae.
GGAUGCGAUCAUACCAGCACUAAAGCACCGGAUCCAAUCAGAACUCCGAAGUUAAGCGUGCUUGGGCGAGAGUAGUACUGGGAUGGGUGACCUCCUGGGAAGUCCUCGUGUUGCAUCCCUCC